GUUAAGCGACUAAGCGUACACGGUGGAUGCCUAGGCAGUCAGAGGCGAUGAAGGGCGUGCUAAUCUGCGAAAAGCGUCGGUAAGCUGAUAUGAAGCGUUACAACCGACGAUACCCGAAUGGGGAAACCCAGUGCAAUUCGUUGCACUAUUGCAUGGUGAAUACAUAGCCAUGCAAGGCGAACCGGGGGAACUGAAACAUCUAAGUACCCCGAGGAAAAGAAAUCAACCGAGAUUCCCCCAGUAGCGGCGAGCGAACGGGGAAGAGCCCAGAGUCUGAAUCAGUUUAUGUGUUAGUGGAAGCGUCUGGAAAGUCGCACGGUACAGGGUGAUAGUCCCGUACACAAAAAUGCAUAUUCUGUGAACUCGAUGAGUAGGGCGGGACACGUGACAUCCUGUCUGAAUAUGGGGGGACCAUCCUCCAAGGCUAAAUACUCCUGACUGACCGAUAGUGAACCAGUACCGUGAGGGAAAGGCGAAAAGAACCCCGGCGAGGGGAGUGAAAUAGAACCUGAAACCGUGUACGUACAAGCAGUGGGAGCACCUUCGUGGUGUGACUGCGUACCUUUUGUAUAAUGGGUCAGCGACUUAUAUUUUGUAGCAAGGUUAACCGAAUAGGGGAGCCGUAGGGAAACCGAGUCUUAACUGGGCGUCUAGUUGCAAGGUAUAGACCCGAAACCCGGUGAUCUAGCCAUGGGCAGGUUGAAGGUUGGGUAACACUAACUGGAGGACCGAACCGACUAAUGUUGAAAAAUUAGCGGAUGACUUGUGGCUGGGGGUGAAAGGCCAAUCAAACCGGGAGAUAGCUGGUUCUCCCCGAAAGCUAUUUAGGUAGCGCCUCGUGAACUCAUCUUCGGGGGUAGAGCACUGUUUCGGCUAGGGGGUCAUCCCGACUUACCAAACCGAUGCAAACUCCGAAUACCGAAGAAUGUUAUCACGGGAGACACACGGCGGGUGCUAACGUCCGUCGUGAAGAGGGAAACAACCCAGACCGCCAGCUAAGGUCCCAAAGUCAUGGUUAAGUGGGAAACGAUGUGGGAAGGCACAGACAGCCAGGAUGUUGGCUUAGAAGCAGCCAUCAUUUAAAGAAAGCGUAAUAGCUCACUGGUCGAGUCGGCCUGCGCGGAAGAUGUAACGGGGCUAAACCAUGCACCGAAGCUGCGGCAGCGACACUUAGGUGUUGUUGGGUAGGGGAGCGUUCUGUAAGCCGUUGAAGGUGACCUGUGAGGGUUGCUGGAGGUAUCAGAAGUGCGAAUGCUGACAUAAGUAACGAUAAUGCGGGUGAAAAACCCGCACGCCGGAAGACCAAGGGUUCCUGUCCAACGUUAAUCGGGGCAGGGUGAGUCGACCCCUAAGGCGAGGCUGAAAAGCGUAGUCGAUGGGAAACAGGUUAAUAUUCCUGUACUUGGUGUUACUGCGAAGGGGGGACGGAGAAGGCUAGGCUAGCCGGGCGACGGUUGUCCCGGUUUAAGCAUGUAGGCGGAGUGACCAGGUAAAUCCGGUUGCUUAUCAACGCUGAGGUGUGAUGACGAGCCACUACGGUGGUGAAGUAGUUGAUGCCAAGCUUCCAGGAAAAGCCUCUAAGCAUCAGGUAACAUUAAAUCGUACCCCAAACCGACACAGGUGGUCAGGUAGAGAAUACUCAGGCGCUUGAGAGAACUCGGGUGAAGGAACUAGGCAAAAUGGUGCCGUAACUUCGGGAGAAGGCACGCUGGCGGUAGGUGAAGAGACUUGCUCUCGGAGCUGAAGCCAGUCGCAGAUACCAGCUGGCUGCAACUGUUUAAUAAAAACACAGCACUGUGCAAACACGAAAGUGGACGUAUACGGUGUGACGCCUGCCCGGUGCUGGAAGGUUAAUUGAUGGGGUCAGCCGCAAGGCGAAGCUCUUGAUCGAAGCCCCAGUAAACGGCGGCCGUAACUAUAACGGUCCUAAGGUAGCGAAAUUCCUUGUCGGGUAAGUUCCGACCUGCACGAAUGGCGUAAUGAUGGCCAGGCUGUCUCCACCCGAGACUCAGUGAAAUUGAACUCGCUGUGAAGAUGCAGUGUACCCGCGGCAAGACGGAAAGACCCCGUGAACCUUUACUAUAGCUUGACACUGAACAUUGAGCCUUGAUGUGUAGGAUAGGUGGGAGGCAUUGAAGUGUGGACGCCAGUCUGCAUGGAGCCAACCUUGAAAUACCACCCUUUAAUGUUUGAUGUUCUAACUCGGCCCCGUAAUCCGGGGUGAGGACAGUGUCUGGUGGGUAGUUUGACUGGGGCGGUCUCCUCCCAAAGAGUAACGGAGGAGCACGAAGGUUAGCUAAUCACGGUCGGACAUCGUGAGGUUAGUGCAAAGGCAUAAGCUAGCUUGACUGCGAGAGUGACGGCUCGAGCAGGUACGAAAGUAGGUCUUAGUGAUCCGGUGGUUCUGAAUGGAAGGGCCAUCGCUCAACGGAUAAAAGGUACUCCGGGGAUAACAGGCUGAUACCGCCCAAGAGUUCAUAUCGACGGCGGUGUUUGGCACCUCGAUGUCGGCUCAUCACAUCCUGGGGCUGAAGUAGGUCCCAAGGGUAUGGCUGUUCGCCAUUUAAAGUGGUACGCGAGCUGGGUUUAGAACGUCGUGAGACAGUUCGGUCCCUAUCUGCCGUGGGCGUUGGAAGAUUGAGAGGGGCUGCUCCUAGUACGAGAGGACCGGAGUGGACGAAUCACUGGUGUUCGGGUUGUCAUGCCAAUGGCAUUGCCCGGUAGCUAAAUUCGGAAGAGAUAACCGCUGAAAGCAUCUAAGCGGGAAACUUGCCUCGAGAUGAGUCUUCCCUGGGGCUUUAAGCCCCCUGAAGGAACGUUAAAGACUAUGACGUUGAUAGGCUGGGUGUGUAAGUGCAGCGAUGCAUUGAGCUAACCAGUACUAAUGAUCCGUGAGGCUUAACC
Molecule: ribosomal RNA, 2904 nt
Filed under: Yersinia bercovieri
Lineage: Bacteria; Pseudomonadati; Pseudomonadota; Gammaproteobacteria; Enterobacterales; Yersiniaceae
Description: Bacterial large subunit ribosomal RNA
Rfam family: Bacterial large subunit ribosomal RNA
Source: RNAcentral